CGAACGGCGAGAUAUAUGCGUUUAAUGUGGUAAAUAUAAGAGAAAUAUGUCAAAGUCAUUUAUAUGUGCCAAUCUUCCUGCUGCCAGCUGGUGGCGCUAUGAUUAUAACUGAAUAUUGGCCUUUAGAUAUCUUCAGGCCAUGACUCUUUCCAAAUAUUUGAAUUUUGGUGCAGAUUGGACAUUGCAUGUUUAAGUUAGUGUAAAACAAGCCAUUUCCUGUUGCCAGCAGGUGGCGCUAUGAUUAUAGUGGAAUAUUGACCUUCAGAUGUGUUCAGGCCAAGACUCUUUUCGAACAUGUGAAGUUUGGGGAAGAUCGGACAUCUUAUGCCUGAGUUACAACAUCUUCUAUUCCCAUGGCGAGACAUCGAACUUUGUCACGGCGCCAUGGCCACACCUUUUAAUGAAACCUCAAGAUGUUCACAAUUUAACAUCGCAAAGGCCUUUAGAUUAGACUGACCAAAAAAAAUUAUAAAGUGUCAUAAAAUUUCUAGGAGUAGUUC
Long non-coding RNA from Cyprinus carpio carpio, 500 nucleotides. Lineage: Eukaryota; Metazoa; Chordata; Actinopteri; Cypriniformes; Cyprinidae. The record is from Ensembl.